This 68-nucleotide transfer RNA is filed under the name Tomocerus qinae. RNAcentral describes it as "tRNA-Pro". The record is from RNAcentral. Lineage: Eukaryota; Metazoa; Arthropoda; Collembola; Entomobryomorpha; Tomoceridae.
CAGAAAGUAGUUUAAGCUUGAAAAUUAAAGUUUUGGGAAUUUUUGAUAACAAAUUUUGUUCUUUUUGA